UCCUACGGGAGGCAGCAGUGAGGAAUAUUGGUCAAUGGGCGGUAGCCUGAACCAGCCAAGUCGCGUGCGGGACGAAGGCCCUCCGGGUCGUAAACCGCUUUAGCCGGGGAGUAACGUGGGGGACGCGUCCCCCAGUGAGAGUACCCGGAGAAUAAGCAUCGGCUAACUCCGUGCCAGCAGCCGCGGUAAUACGGAGGAUGCGAGCGUUAUCCGGAUUUAUUGGGUUUAAAGGGUGCGCAGGCGGCGUGUCAAGUCAGCGGUCAAACUGCGGGGCUCAACCCCGUACCGCCGUUGAAACUGGCAUGCUCGAGUUCGUGCGAUGGUGGCGGAAUGCGCGGUGUAGCGGUGAAAUGCAUAGAUAUCGCGCAGAACUCCGAUUGCGAAGGCAGCUGCCAAGCACUGGACUGACGCUCAUGCACGAAAGCGUGGGUAUCGAACAGGAUUAGAUACCCUGGUAGUCC
RNAcentral lists this ribosomal RNA (461 nucleotides) under uncultured bacterium. Its description in RNAcentral is "bacterial SSU rRNA". It matches the Rfam family "Bacterial small subunit ribosomal RNA", at positions 337 to 796 of the family's 1533-position model. The record is from RNAcentral.